AGCGAACGCUGGCGGCAGGCUUAACACAUGCAAGUCGAACGCCCCGCAAGGGGAGUGGCAGACGGGUGAGUAACACGUGGGAACGUACCCUUUGGUUCGGAAUAACUUGGGGAAACUCAAGCUAACACCGGAUAAGCCCUUAUGGGGAAAGGUUUACUGCCGAAGGAUCGGCCCGCGUCUGAUUAGCUAGUUGGUGAGGUAAUGGCUCACCAAGGCGACGAUCAGUAGCUGGUCUGAGAGGAUGAUCAGCCACACUGGGACUGAGACACGGCCCAGACUCCUACGGGAGGCAGCAGUGGGGAAUAUCGGACAAUGGGGGCAACCCUGAUCCAGCCAUGCCGCGUGAGUGAUGAAGGCCUUAGGGUUGUAAAGCUCUUUUACCCGGGACGAUAAUGACUGUACCGGGAGAAUAAGCCCCGGCUAACUUCGUGCCAGCCGCCGCCGUAA
RNAcentral lists this ribosomal RNA (447 nucleotides) under uncultured bacterium. Its description in RNAcentral is "partial 16S ribosomal RNA". It matches the Rfam family "Bacterial small subunit ribosomal RNA", at positions 29 to 523 of the family's 1533-position model. The record is from RNAcentral.